UUUUUUUUUUUUUUUUAGUUGAAAGAAAAAAAAGGUAAAACAUGGAGAAGAUCAUGAACAGUAAUGGGUUUUAGUAUAUAUAAAUAUAAUUUGUAACUGUAUCUGUCCAAAUAUGCCGUGCAAGUUCUAUUCAUUAGCAGGUACUUUGAUUGCCAUGCAGUAAGAGCAUACAACGGAGAUUGGCUUUGUAUCAAGGCGUACGUCCCAUACACCUCUUUUAUGGGUGAUGCUGUCCACACACUUCUUUUAAUUACCAGUCGUCAUAUAGAAUGAAUUCAAGAGGAUCAAAUGACUAAAAUUAACAGAGAAUAUGUAAAAGAUAAACCAGAGUGUAUGGAUAACACCACCCUAUCUUAUUAGGAUAAUAACAUCCGAUGUGUUUGAUAUAAUCUUUUAGGGACUAACCAAAACAUUGAGUUACAAAAGUCAAACACUUCCGAUGAUGGAAGAACUAUAUCCACUUCUAUCGUCACAAAACUUGGACAAUAACAUCACACCACCAUACUUUGACGACUUCUUUAUCACCGGCAGAAUUUCCGAAUUCAACAAAGCAGCCGGAACAUACCCACUCUUGGCCGCCUUAGGAGCCGCCAGCAACCCCAAAAACAUCUUCCCUGUCUAAUACAAUGAUGUCACUUGGCGUCUUAACAAGAUGGGAGACUUUGGAGGGACUUUAUUGAGUACUCCAGAGUACUCAGUACUCUCAUUUGUUUAAAAAUAUAAAAAUCAAAAUCUAACGAUUAAAACAUCUAGAGUAUCCAUAUAUAGUACUGCUCAAAACUUUUUGAGACAUUGGACGUGAUCCCUCCUAGAAAUUAUUAAGUUAUACAGUAGUACACUUCAGCCGUGAUACUUUCAUUCAAAGGCUAGCUUUAUACUAAUAUGUGAUACUUUCAUUCCAUAUUUGAGAGCCAUUGGAUAAGUAUAAAGCUAACCUUUACAAUAUGAGCUAGUUAGUUAGCCUUCACACACACAGUGCCUGCCUAUCAUGUAACCAUUGACAAUGAUACCCGACAAUUUAUUUGGAGAGAGGGUCCUCACUCAUUUAUUUGGACCUAUAACUUCAUUUCAUAAUAACUCCAUCACAUCAUUUUAUGUACCAUAGUUUAUUCAAUUUCAAAAAUUAGUACACGCAAUAACAUGUUUUAUCGUAAAAUAUACGAGGUUUUUUAGUAUAUUAGAAAUACGAGAUGAUGCACCACAUGUCAUUAUAUAAAUGAAGAGAAAUUUUUUUUUUUUUUAAAUGUGCCUCCACUUAUAUAAUGUAUUGUACCACCCAAAUUCUGAAUAAGUGAAAGAUCUCUCC
Molecule: long non-coding RNA, 1306 nt
Filed under: Malus domestica (apple)
Lineage: Eukaryota; Viridiplantae; Streptophyta; Magnoliopsida; Rosales; Rosaceae
Description: long non-coding RNA (MDOM_LNC001224)
Source: RNAcentral